GAAGAUUAGUAUUUGUUGUUAAAUUACUAAAGCACAAAAUAUCAACAUUUCACCAAAAUUUUACUAAGCCACGUUUAGAGUGAAAGUGUGGGAAAAUUUCUGAUUUUUGGAUUACAAAACAAAAGGGAAGAAGAGAAAAAGAUUCCAUGGUCAACUACUCCAUUAUUUUUGCCUUCUUCCUCACUCAUCCAUGGCACUUGGCAAGCAUGCCAAGACCCUCCACUCUUUUCCUCUGUCAAAUAUUUUGUCACCAAUCCAUCUUCUUAGCUUCCUCAAGUCAAAAAUCAAAAUAUUUACUUCAAUUUUCUCCCUCCCAACCACUGGUUUUUUGUUCUUAAUUUCACUAUAAAUAGCCAUGAAAAUCUCUCACCAAGAACACCAUCAACAACAACUCUCAUCCUCUCACCUCUCACCUCACCACCACCUACGAACCACCUUGCAAGUACCACAAACUUCAUUCACAAUUUGCCAGAAAACGUGACCCAAAGAAACCCAAAAGAAAACCCCAAUUUUUCCCUCUCUCUCCUCUGUUUCGGACCUCCCACAACACACCACUGUCGGCCACCUCGCGUGACACCUGCGCCGCGCUUUGUCACCCCCUGCCUCGGCAGUCGCUUGCCGGAGCUCCGCCAGCCACCAACACCCUCGCAUUCUCUCCCUUCCUCACACUCCCUUCUCUCGUCGUUCCUCUUCGUCGCGAUGCACCCAGCUAUACGCGCCAGCCAUGCCACCACAAACGACCUUCGCCACCGCGUCUCACUGCUUGUCGCUGCCGAUCGCCGCCUACCGUCACUUGCUGUUCGCCGGAGCUCGCGCCCCUCCUGCCGCGAUUUUCUUCCCCCUGCUCUUAGUAGCAGAGGUACCGAUGGUGAUAGCAGGAUGGCGUAGCAGUGAGGAUAUAUUUAAUAUCUAGUCUUAUGUAGUAGACUCUCAUGGUUUUUAAUUUAAGUUAAUAUCAGACUCUGAUUAGUAACUAAGUUCCUAUUAAUCAA
This is a long non-coding RNA of Beta vulgaris subsp. vulgaris (sugar beet), 992 nucleotides long. RefSeq lists it as uncharacterized. The transcript has 2 exons. The record is from RefSeq and is a predicted model, not a curated record. NCBI's taxonomy places the organism in Eukaryota, Viridiplantae, Streptophyta, Magnoliopsida, Caryophyllales, Amaranthaceae.